This 301-nucleotide ribosomal RNA is filed under the name uncultured bacterium. Its description in RNAcentral is "partial 16S ribosomal RNA". It matches the Rfam family "Bacterial small subunit ribosomal RNA", at positions 509 to 807 of the family's 1533-position model. The record is from RNAcentral.
CAGUAGCCGCGGGAAUACGGAGGGAGCUAGCGUUGUUCGGAAUUACUGGGCGUAAAGCGCACGUAGGCGGCUUUGUAAGUUAGAGGUGAAAGCCUGGAGCUCAACUCCAGAAUUGCCUUUAAGACUGCAUCGCUUGAAUCCAGGAGAGGUGAGUGGAAUUCCGAGUGUAGAGGUGAAAUUCGUAGAUAUGUGGAGGAACACCAGUGGCGAAGGCGACUCUCUGGUCUGUAACUGACGCUGAGGAGCGAAAGCGUGGGGAACGAACAGGAUUAGAUACCCCGGUAGUCCCUGUCUCUUAUAC